UACAGAGGUCCCGAGCGUUGUUCGGAUUUACUGGGCGUAAAGGGUGCGUAGGUGGUCGGGUAAGUCUGAUGUGAAAUCUCGGAGCUCAACUCCGAAACUGCAUUGGAUACUAUCCGGCUUGAGAGUUGGAGGGGGGACUGGAAUUCUCGGUGUAGCAGUGAAAUGCGUAGAUAUCGGGAGGAACACCUGCGGCGAAGGCGGGUUGCUGGGCUGACACUGACGCUGAAACGCGAAAGCUAGGGGAGCGAACGGG
This 253-nucleotide ribosomal RNA is filed under the name uncultured prokaryote. RNAcentral describes it as "partial 16S ribosomal RNA". It matches the Rfam family "Bacterial small subunit ribosomal RNA", at positions 524 to 776 of the family's 1533-position model. The record is from RNAcentral.